This 341-nucleotide unclassified non-coding RNA is filed under the name soil metagenome. Its description in RNAcentral is "partial contains 5.8S ribosomal RNA, internal transcribed spacer 2, and large subunit ribosomal RNA". The stretch from base 1 to 120 matches the Rfam family "5.8S ribosomal RNA", at positions 35 to 154 of the family's 154-position model. The record is from RNAcentral.
GAUGAAGAACGUAGCGAAAUGCGAUACGUAGUGUGAAUUGCAGAAUUCAGUGAAUCAUCGAAUCUUUGAACGCACAUUGCGCCCUUUGGUAUUCCAAAGGGCAUGCCUGUUCGAGCGUCAUUUGUACCCUCAAGCUUUGCUUGGUGUUGGGCGUCUUGUCUCUAGCUUUGCUGGAGACUCGCCUUAAAGUAAUUGGCAGCCGGCCUACUGGUUUCGGAGCGCAGCACAAGUCGCACUCUCUAUCAGCAAAGGUCUAGCAUCCAUUAAGCCUUUUUUUCAACUUUUGACCUCGGAUCAGGUAGGGAUACCCGCUGAACUUAAGCAUAUCAAUAAGCGGAGGA